Molecule: long non-coding RNA, 556 nt
Organism: Alexandromys fortis (reed vole)
Lineage: Eukaryota; Metazoa; Chordata; Mammalia; Rodentia; Cricetidae
Exons: 3
Source: RefSeq, a predicted model, not a curated record
CCCAAAAGACCAGCAAGGAGGCUAAGUGAGGACUCAGGCCUGCCCUGGAUAUGUAGUGUGAGGCCUAUGGGAGUGGCAGGAAGGACCGUGCCCACGAAAGCCUCUCUGAACAGACCAGACUUUUUCCUCCCCUCAAGUCCUCCUCUAGAGGUUCCACAGAAGAAAUGAGAUAAAAGAACCGGGAUAUGGACCCAUGUCACCCGGGCAACAACCUGCGUGAUCUGUGCAGAGGCCUUACAUCCUGUGGUCCAGAGGCGGCCUUCUAUGACCUCAGCUGUGUAGAGCAACCCAGAACAGCGUUUGCAUUGCCCAGAUGUUAGAGGAGCCUGCUUCCUGCUCAGAAUGCUCCAGCGUCACUUUCAGCAGAGACAACCAGCCUCCAGGUGACCAGCAAGGCAUGCUCUCUGGUCAGUACUUUUCCAAGAUGGAUCCAUGCCUUGCAGAUGUCUAUGAGAGAAGCCAGAAAAAAAGGUAGAGCCUAAACCUUGCACCUCCCUUGAAUUUGUGGUCCUGAAGUCCUGCAACAACUGCCCUAGAGUGAAUUGUGCUCCCUAAA